CAGCCGCCGCGGGAAUACGGAGGGUGCAAGCGUUAAUCGGAAUUACUGGGCGUAAAGCGCACGCAGGCGGUCUGUCAAGUCAGAUGUGAAAUCCCCGGGCUUAACCUGGGAACUGCAUUUGAAACUGGCAGGCUAGAGUCUUGUAGAGGGGGGUAGAAUUCCAGGUGUAGCGGUGAAAUGCGUAGAGAUCUGGAGGAAUACCGGUGGCGAAGGCGGCCCCCUGGACAAAGACUGACGCUCAGGUGCGAAAGCGUGGGGAGCAAACAGGAUUAGAUACCCGUGUAGUCCCUGUCUCUUAUCC
This 301-nucleotide ribosomal RNA is filed under the name uncultured bacterium. RNAcentral's name for it is "partial 16S ribosomal RNA". It matches the Rfam family "Bacterial small subunit ribosomal RNA", at positions 509 to 809 of the family's 1533-position model. The record is from RNAcentral.